This 106-nucleotide ribosomal RNA is filed under the name Pseudomonas aeruginosa. Lineage: Bacteria; Pseudomonadati; Pseudomonadota; Gammaproteobacteria; Pseudomonadales; Pseudomonadaceae. The record is from RNAcentral.
UUAGCGCUGUGGAACCACCCGAUCCCAUCCCGAACUCGGAAGUGAAACGCAGCUGCGCCGAUGGUAGUGUGGCUCAAGCCAUGCGAGAGUAGGUCAUCGCCAGGGU